ACUCAGCUUGAAAGCAUUAGGUCAGCCCACAAUGCAAUGUGGUGGCCUGCAGGAUUUCUUCCAGGCAACAACACAACAGAGGAGGUUGGUGAAGUUUUGUUCCCACCUGUGAUUCCUUAAAGCACACAGUUCUACUUUAGGUCAGGGAUCUUGCCAGGAUCUCAGAUGCAGGCAGAGUUUCCACACAGCCACUGAACAGUAGGCAGAGAAGACAGAAAGAGUCAGAGUUGAGGACUCUUGGGGACUCACAAAGGCGUCUCACUCCUAAAAGCCUGGCUGCAGACACAGGCCAAGAGCCGUUGAGAACUUGUCGCCUAGCAACGCGUGACCAGCUAAUAAAGGGGAGUUGGAGGCUUUUCAUUUUCCCAGACUGCAGGAGUCUACUAACCACGCAUGAUCGCUAAUGGCAUGGGACUCAAACUUCCUGUGGAGUUCAACCCCCUGGAAACACGAAAUGAAUGCUUCAUUAAUCCUUGCUUUGAACCGGUUAGGACUAGGAGUUUUCUAUUUACCCUUCAAUCUUCACAGAAUUCACUGUUGCUGCCCAGGUCUUUGGUACUGGUACUGCACGCAUGGAAAAGUUGACUUGAGGCUACCUCUCCACUCCAGCUCCAUUCCAACUUUUGAACACUCAGGAAGAAGGCCUUAAAGUGGAUCACCAAGACAUGAAUGCCAUGGAAAAGCAUCAGCCACAAAGGAGGUGAUUCCGGGAUCACGUGCACCGUAUACCAGCGUCUGGGACCCGAGUCCUCAGGAAAAUUGAUGGUUUUAUUAAUGGGCAUUGGUGCCAUUUGAUGAUUAUCACACAAAGGGCCUCAAAAAUACACCCCACCAGUUUGUAUAAAUACAAAAGUAGGUCUUACCGAGAACAAAACUUGCUAAUGGCAGUCUACCAGGGCACACAUGAUCCCCUGAGCCAUCAAGGUCCCAAAUAGAGCUAUACCUAGACAAGGCGUAACUGGAUGCAAACACAGUGAAAAAGGCUCCUUGAGUGCGCUCCUCCUUAUAUUUAUUGGACAUAUCUAGACCGGUGUGGCACAGGAGCUUUCUGACUCCAGACAGGAGGCUGUUAGAAGAGUCUCUGGUACUCAGUAGCCAGUUUGUGAGGCCAUUAAGAGGGAGGAGAAACUGCACCUCUAGAGCCCUAUAGAUUUAUUUCUUUAAUGUUAGUCUGCAGAAGAACCACUACCCACUGCAAAUCUUAGCUGAAAAAAAACAAUAA
Non-coding RNA from Oryctolagus cuniculus (rabbit), 1222 nucleotides. NCBI's taxonomy places the organism in Eukaryota, Metazoa, Chordata, Mammalia, Lagomorpha, Leporidae. The record is from RefSeq and is a predicted model, not a curated record.